CAGCCGCCGCGGUAAUACGAAGGUCCCGAGCGUUGUUCGGAAUCACUGGGCGUAAAGGGAGCGUAGGCGGCGUGGUAAGUCAGAUGUGAAAUCCCGGGGCUCAACCCCGGAACUGCAUCCGAUACUGCCAUGCUAGAGGAUUGGAGAGGUAGCUGGAAUUCCUGGUGUAGCAGUGAAAUGCGUGGAGAUCAAGAGGAACACUCGUGGCGAAAGCGAGCUACUGGACAAUAACUGACGCUGAGGCUCGAAGGCCAGGGUAGCGAAAGGGAUUAGAUACCCGUGUAGUCCCUGUCUCUUAUAC
This 301-nucleotide ribosomal RNA is filed under the name uncultured bacterium. Its description in RNAcentral is "partial 16S ribosomal RNA". It matches the Rfam family "Bacterial small subunit ribosomal RNA", at positions 509 to 807 of the family's 1533-position model. The record is from RNAcentral.